Molecule: long non-coding RNA, 4026 nt
Filed under: Triticum aestivum (bread wheat)
Lineage: Eukaryota; Viridiplantae; Streptophyta; Magnoliopsida; Poales; Poaceae
Description: long non-coding RNA (TAES_LNC013638)
Source: RNAcentral
UUUUUCUUUGUUUUUUUUAUACUUUCAUAGUUUACUAUUUCUAGAUUAAUAUGGUAAAAUAAUUAGAUUAUCAAUUAGUCUAUGUAUAGACCUAGAAUUCCUUUAGCCGUAACUAUUUUUCUUCUGUAAAAUAGCUUGGCCUUGAUCUUUCAAAUAGCCAUAACAUUUUACUCGUUCAUCCAAAUUAGAUAAAACCAGCACCUAUAGUUUCGUCUUGUUUUCACCUAUCCCGUUAACCUGUCACGUCAACUUUUUGAAAUUUUCAAAUUUCGAAAUUUGUUCAGAUUCAUAUUCAAACUUCUUUUGUUCAUAACUUGAGUUUCGUAGCUCCCUUUGAGUUGAUUCUUUUUGCAAAUUAAAGAUCUUGACCUAAACUUUCUGAUAAGGCCAAAUUGACAUAAUUUUGGUACUGUUAGAAAUUAUUUUAUGUUGCAAGAGUUAUUUGCUUGGUUUUGAUGUUUUCCGAAGUGUCUUCUUCGUUCUUUCCAAUCUUUUGAGUGAUUGCUUAUGUGUGGUUAACAUUGCUUGAUUACGAUAGAUUUACCGGAGUGUGACGAGUAGAUCUAUCAAGAGUUUUGAGUGCGAAUCAUCUUCAUCAACAGUACGGGCAAGUAACACUUUGAUCAUACCCCUUUUACUACCCAGUUUUUAUGCAUUAGUUUCACCCUCAAACAUUGCAUUAGUAGGAUUGAUAACAUGUGGGUAUUGGGAAGUAGUUCGUGAGGUAGGAACAUAUUGCCCUGCAUUCAAACCUUGGGAGUUACUAUUACGUUAUGCUUAUAUUGCCAUGCUAUGCUCAUAGACGUGGAUUGGGUUUGAGUGUAUCCAUGACAGAUGUGAGAUUGUUAAUUUAAGGUUUAACUUAAGGUGGCUACUUUCAUGCUAGAAACUUCUGUGUGCAACCACAAGCUAUUAUGGGCUCUAGCAUAGUUGAGUAGGUUACAUGACCUCUUGAAGAGGUGGGCUAGCAGAUGUAGGGGAAAGUAGGUGUAACUAUCUACCCGGAGUGAAGAGUUAUUGUUUCUGAAAGACUGUGUCUCGGUCAUCCGUUUCUCAAACACCAUGUAGUGCGAGAAAUCAAACGGAGGAGAUCGAGUCUUGUGGGGAAAAGUGCGCAAACCUCUGCAGAGUGUACAAACUAAUCAUGGUUAGCCGUGUCCCCGGUUAUGGACAAUCUUGAGUCUCUGGUACUUGGAUUAUCAUAUUGAUCUCAUCACGUUACUUAAAUAAUUUGUUGGGUUAUUGAUGUUAAUUUGGGAUUGAGUUGGAGGAACCUUCUCAAUAUUUUCAACCAACUUUGUAGUUAAAUAAAUAUAUUCCUUUGAAGUAGGGAAAAAUUGGCUUUUCACAAAAACAUUAUAACCGUAGAGCUUUCCACCAGCCAUAUAUGCAUGUAGUGAUAGCAUUUAUUUUGCUCAUUGCUCUACUGUGUUAUCUUGCCAGUACAUUCAAUGUACUGACCCAUUUCGGGCAGCAACGUCUCAUGUUGCAGGAUUCUUACGACGAGUAAGUGAUAUGUUAGGGUUACGAUUUCUACACUCAACUUUACCGUUGGUGUUGAUGGGAAUCCACAACCUUGUUGUUACUUCCGCUAUUUGGAUUGAGGUAAUAGUAUUUACGUUACUUUAUACAUGUGAUUUACCUCUGUUAUAAAUCCUCUAGUAUUGUGUGUGUCAGCAUACCGAUCCAGGGAUGACACUUAAGCACAGAGACUUCCGUCUGAGGUCGGGUCGCUACAUCGUUUGGCUUGCAGAAUACAUGGAUUUAUCCGAACUUAGUUUGUCGACAAGAGAAAUUCUGCAAUGCUUGUGACGAUGACCGAGUGUUAGAAUGCGAGAUUCGCUAAAACAUAUACAGGGUAAUGAUUUGGAUGCGGGAUGGACUGAUCACCAUGCCGAUUUACUCUUAUUAUUCGCCCUGCUAUAUGGGAUGGUAAAUCUGAGUGACUUACCUAUAGUAGAGAGACGACGAUCAAAACCUUGUUUCGGCCUUAGAAUGGUAGGACAAUUUUCCCUGGUACAAGGCUGUUGUUGCCAAUCGUAGGAUAAACGGUGAGGUUCAAACCAGACCCAUUUCCUGCAGGACAAACCAUAAAUUGUUGACCACCAUGAGAUAUCGAUAGUUGUUUAGUAUUGGCGCCAGACCUGUCAGCUAAGAAGACCCAGUCUCAGAAUAACCUUACCAAGAUGAAAGGACAGAAGAACUGCAGUAAAGGUUAUGCCACUACCGGAAGAGCCCAGAGAAGGAAUUUUCCCGAGAAUCUGAGAAGACCGACACUGUCAACAAUAAGGAUGGAGUAUAUGAGUUUUGAUGGAACCGUAACCAUGCUUCUAAGGGUGGUAGCACCCCAGACCCCUUGUGAUGAUCGAUGGAUUUUGAGAAGACCCCCAAACCGAACCUAUUUCUUUCAAGCGUCUCCGAAUCUCGAGGACGAGAUUCAUUUUAAGGGUGAUAGGUUUGUAACAUCCCAAAAUUCUAAAUUUUGGAAUGUUAUAAUGAAUAGAUAGCUUUGAUUGAUUUUUUGAUUGUUUGAUUGAUUGUUUGAAACUGAGUGAAAUUCGAAACUUUCUGAAAGUUAAAUGAGAUGGAAUAAAAGGACUUUCCCAAACUUUCAUCUUUGCUUGCUGAUCUCCAUGAAUUCAAAUUCUUUUCAAAUACAAAACCCUUGAGCGAAGAUGAUAUGACUUCUUCCAUUUAAUUAAAUGAAAGGGAUUUGAAAGGAUUUGAAUUUUAUUUGGAAAUAUUUUCCAAUUCAGAAACUUUAUGCAACUCAAUGAUUUUCACGAGAGAAGAUAAAAUGACUUCUUCAAAUUAUGAAAUAUGAGUUGGGAGUUUCAAAGAAUUACAUUCAAAGUUCUUUUGAAUUUAUUUUCAAUUUGGAGUUAUUUGAGUUUUAUCCAAAUUAUUUUUCUCCAAAAAUAAAAUAUAUGGAAAAUAGGGUAACAUGAUUCCCUACAUCAGAAAAUUGGGGAGAAAUAAAUUUGAAUUAAUUUUGGUAUUUUUAAAAUGAUUUUUACUGGAUUUUACUAGAGCAGAAGCACUCUUUGCUUUAUUUGAAUUUGUGUGUAUUUUAUUUGAGUCUAGGAAAAUGUUCAACUUGUAGGAAAUCUUUUUCUGAGAAUUUUGGUAUAUAAUAUGCCUAUAUAAAAUUUUGCUUUAGUUUCUUUAUUCGGUUUUCCUUCUAUUUUUAUUUAAAAAAAUUGUAUGUGCGGCCCAUAUUUAUUUAUCGCCUACACGCGUAGCAUAGUGGCAGCAGGCGCAUCAUUUUUUCCUAAAUGGGCCAGGCCCAGCCAGCCUUUUUUAUUUUUUUACUUAGGCCGAAUUCUGUUAAAAAAAACAUCAGCUGCCGGCCGCCUUACGCGUUUAGGCCCGUGCGACGCGCCUUGUCUGUUUCGUUUUCUUUUCAUCUACGUACGUAUAUGUUUAGUCCCACAUUGCCUAGCCUUUGACCCCUAAGCGUCUUUUCCAUCAAUAAAUAUAGACCCAUAGAGCUCCUUUCCGGCGGGACUUCUGGAAGUUGUCUCCUCUCUGUGAAGUUGUCUUUUCUCUGCCUUAUAAAUGUAUUUUUCUUUGUUUUUUUAUACUUUUGUAGUUUAUUACAUCUGGAUUAAUAUGGUAAAAUAAUUAGAUUAUCAAUUAGUCUAUGUAUAGACCUAGAAUUCCUUUAGCCGUAACUAUUUUUCUUCCAUAAAACAGCUUGGCGCUGAUCUUUCAAAUAGCCAUAACUUUUUACUCGUUCAUCCAAAUUACAUAAAACCAGCGCCUAUAGUUUCGUCUUGUUUUCACCUAUCCCGUUAACCUAUGACGUCAACUUUUUGAAAUUUUAAAAUUUCAAAAUUUGUUCAGAUUCAUAUUCAAACUUCUUUUGUUCAUAACUUGAGUUUCCUAGCUCCGUUUGAGUUGAUUCUUUUUGCAAAUUAAAGAUCUUGACCUAAACUUUCUGAUAAGGCCAAAUUGACAUAAUUUUGGUACUGUUAGAAAUUGUUUUAUGUUGCAAGAGUUAUUUGCUUGGUUUUGAUGUUUUCC